CUCUUUGGACAUUUUCUUCUUGUAGUGAAUGGUUCCUUCCCUGCUCUUCCCUAUUCAUUCUCAAUCACCCCUUUUUCUCUUCUCUUUUGUCUCUCUCACUCUGCUCAAUUCAAAACAUCCUUUCCUUCUAAUCCAUCUGGAUAUUGGUUUCUUUGAGUGCAUAAUAUCAGCCUGAAGGUCUAAGUAAUUCAUUAUAUCUAAAGCCACACAGGAAAAGUCAGCAUGCGUUGGUUGGGUCUUUCUGUUGAUGUGUUCCGCCAAGUUAUACAGUUGAACUUAUAUUGUAAAGUUAUUCUGUAGAUCAUCAUUCCCAAAAAUCUGUGCUUAGCUACUGCCAUGGAAGCUAAUUGUUUGAUCGUUUCUUCUGAUAAGUAUAGAAUAGGCUAAAAGAUAGGAAGUGAAGGAACAUUCUGUAUUUUGUAUUUUGUAUUUUCAGUAUGUUCUCAUCUCUUGUUAUUCUAAAGUUCUAGCUGAUUCUGAUUGUGUUUAGGUUGGGUAUCUUCAUUUUGAUAUUCUAUUGGGCUUUUCUUCUCUUUGUACAAUAACAUUAGAUUGAUUGAGUAUUGUGGUGAGAAACAAAAGAAGUUAUGGUGUGCCAAGCAGCGAGCCAAACAAGAUUCCGAGCAUUAAAACAUGAGUAUGGCAUUAACGGUGAAGCAACAAUUAUUGUUAGAGUGAUAGCAUGCUUUCAACCUUUGCAUUUUUGUCAGGCUGAGUACUUCCGUCAUUUGCUUAAGCCUGUCACGUAGAUUAAGUCAUAUUUGUUUCUCUUUAAGCUGGAGCUUGUAGUUUCCCCUUUUUCCCUCUUUUUCCUUAGAAAAUCAGGAAGUUAGAAAAGAUCUCUUACAAGAGCAUCAUAACAUCUACUGGUCAUUUGUUUUGUUAGAUGGUUAAGGCUGACAGCUCCCUGCCUUGCUCACACCAUGUGGCUUGGCAAUCACCUUCUUUGAAUUACUUAAGCAUGCUGCCUAAGCCCGGCUCACUCGGUCUCCCAACAUAUCUGAACUCAAGCACUUCCAUCUUACCUCAUGGGCUUGUAGCUCCUUCUAUUCAAAGUCUGAAGACUCAGCUAACAAAUGAAGUGCAAGGAUACCUUAAGUAUCACAACGUAGACACAAGCCUGAAAGAAACGCAUCUUGGAGGAGCUUUACAAAAUGCAAAUCCUUCUUUGCAAAAGAGGUUACUUAUCUUUGACCGCUCUGAUAAUAAGACAAGGUUGUUUUAUGGGCAUGUUCCUCCUCUUGUCCAGAGUCCAAUUGUCACUGCUAAGAAGAUUGCUCAAAGUUAUGACGUAAAUGGGGAGGAACAGGCUAGAAUUAUGGGUCAAAAGCAUCUUGCCAGCUAUGGUUUACUGGAAGAGUCUGUUAAGGAUAAUGCAGUUAUUGAAGAAAGUGAAAAGCAUGAAGAUACGGAAGAAAUAAAUGCAUUGCUUUAUUCCGAUGAUGACAGCAGUGAAUAUGAUGAGGAUAAUUGUGAUGAGGUAACAAGUACAGAUCGUUCUCCUUUGGCAACUAAAAGGACUUAUGCGAUACAAGAACAAUGUGAGGACUUAAAGGAGGAAGUUGCCAGCUCUUAUUGGCCUAAGAAAAAGAUGAAGUUAAUUACUGGUGGCGACAAUAGGUCAUCCCCACGUGUGGACAAAACUACCGUGGUACAACCAAAUGAAACCUGUGAUUAUGUUAGUGAUGCUGAAUCAAAGAACUCUAGUGGUUGGACAUAUUCUGUUGAUAAAACUAAAGUAGAUGAUUCAGUGGUGUGUGAUAUCAAAUUAAAAAAGGAUAAGAUCCGGGAAUCUUUGAGAGUUCUGGAGAAUUUAAUUCCUGGUGCAAAAGGAAAGGAGCCAAUGUUAGUCAUUGAUGGAACUAUUGAGUACUUGAAAGUUUUGAUGUCCCAAACUGGUUCUCUUGGGGUAGAAUAUCACUAAGUAGUACUCACAGUCAAUCAGUGAGUCAAUCACAGCCACGAAGGUUAUAGUAUGUUGGUUGAAGGACACAUCCAUGGUGAAAAGAUGUAGUUCUUUGAUUUAUUAGCUUUGUUGGUUGAUAUGUUUAUCUUAGCAUGUUUGCAUUUUGUCUUGUUUAACCCUCUUUCUUGAGGAGGUGCACAUAUAUGGUUGGGAAAUAAAGGUACUGAUGUUGAAAUAGAUAGUAUUGCACUUUGGCACUUGGGUUGGAAAAGAGUGCAGGAUAUGGGGUUUCAAUUUGUUGACCAACAUGAUUAUCCUGUAGCUUUUUUUUGAGGAUUAAAGAUCACAGGUUGAAGUGAUGGAGAUGGUAGUGGGGGGCUUUGCUGUAAAUGAGGACACUUUUUUUUCUCUCAAGUGUUGCACUCUCUUGGUGAUUGAAUGCAUGCGCAUUAGGCAACUGGGGUCCCACUCUCCACCCUCCCUUUUCAUUCUUGGGUUCGUGCUUUUGUCCUCUCUUUCAAGGUUGCACGCAUAUCAUGCUGGCAUAUACUCUAAAGUAACAAGAAAGUUUCCUGAUGUUUGGCAGAGCGAGGCUAGUGUUUCAUCAUGAAUUGCUGGGGCCCUUUGUUUGGAUAUAUAGCAUUUUGUGGUAAAGGUUACUUUGUUUUACAUGUUGAUGGAGUGCGGAAUGAUGACAAGCAAUUCUAGUUUCUGCUUUGUGAUUCAUAUUGGUGGUCUAGGUCUCCUUUUGAGGAUGCUAUUAUGAAGCUGUCAGACGUGAUUGUAUGAAUAAUUGGAGUGUGAAUGGUUAUGGAAGUGUUGUAUGCAUCAGAGUGUAUCAUGGACAUAGUUAUCUGAUGUUGUUUUUAUGUUUGUAAAUAUCAUUUUCUGUC
Molecule: non-coding RNA, 2799 nt
Organism: Vigna umbellata (rice bean)
Lineage: Eukaryota; Viridiplantae; Streptophyta; Magnoliopsida; Fabales; Fabaceae
Source: RefSeq, a predicted model, not a curated record